RNAcentral lists this ribosomal RNA (467 nucleotides) under uncultured bacterium. RNAcentral's name for it is "partial 16S ribosomal RNA". It matches the Rfam family "Bacterial small subunit ribosomal RNA", at positions 28 to 507 of the family's 1533-position model. The record is from RNAcentral.
GACGAACGCUGGCGGCGUGCUUAACACAUGCAAGUCGAACGGAAAGGCCUCUUUCGGGGGGUACUCGAGUGGCGAACGGGUGAGUAACACGUGAGUAGCCUGCCCUUGACUUUGGGAUAACUUCAGGAAACUGGGGCUAAUACCGGAUAGGAGCUCCUGCUGCAUGGUGGGGGUUGGAAAGUUUCGGCGGUUGGGGAUGGGCUGGCGGCUUAUCAGGUUGUUGGUGGGGUAGUGGCUUACCAAGGCGUUGACGGGUAGCCGGCCUGAGAGGGUGACCGGCCACAUUGGGACUGAGAGACGGACCAGAAGCCUACGGGAGGCAGUAGUCGAGAGUAUGGCACAAUGGGUGGGAGCCUGAGGCAGCGACGCCGGGUGCGGGAUGACGGCCUUCGGGUUGUGAACCGCUUUCGCUCAUGACGAAGCGUUGUGUGACGGUAGUGGGUAAAGAAGCACCGGCUAACUACGUG